Molecule: non-coding RNA, 28 nt
Filed under: Rattus norvegicus (Norway rat)
Lineage: Eukaryota; Metazoa; Chordata; Mammalia; Rodentia; Muridae
Source: RNAcentral
UGAGACAGCAUCUUCUGGACCUGACAGA